GACGGGGCCCGCACAAGCGGUGGAGCAUGUGGUUAAUUCGACGCAACGCGAAAACCUUACCUGGGCUUGACAUCCCGGGAAUCCCUUGGAACAAGGAGUGCCCUUCGGGAACCUGGAGACAGGUGCUGCAUGGCUGUCGUCAGCUCGUGUCGUGAGAUGUUGGGUUAAGUCCCGCAACGAGCGCAACCCUUGCCAUUAGUUGCUACGAAAGGGCACUCUAAUGGGACUGCCGGUGACAAACCGGAGGAAGGUGGGGAUGACGUCAAGUCCUCAUGGCCCUUAUAGGUGGGGCUACACACGUCAUACAAUGGCCGGUACAGAGGGUAGCCAACCCGCGAGGGGGAGCCAAUCCCACAAAGCCGGUCGUAGUCCGGAUCGCAGUCUGCAACUCGACUGCGUGAAGUCGGAAUCGCUAGUAAUCGCGGAUCAGCAUGUCGCGGUGAAUACGUUCCCGGGUCUU
Molecule: ribosomal RNA, 460 nt
Filed under: uncultured Syntrophaceae bacterium
Lineage: Bacteria; Pseudomonadati; Thermodesulfobacteriota; Syntrophia; Syntrophales; Syntrophaceae
Description: bacterial SSU rRNA
Rfam family: Bacterial small subunit ribosomal RNA
Source: RNAcentral